Molecule: unclassified non-coding RNA, 423 nt
Filed under: uncultured Bartonella sp.
Lineage: Bacteria; Pseudomonadati; Pseudomonadota; Alphaproteobacteria; Hyphomicrobiales; Bartonellaceae
Description: partial 16S-23S ribosomal RNA intergenic spacer
Source: RNAcentral
UUGAUAAGCGUGAGGUCGGAGGUUCAAGUCCUCCCAGGCCCACCAAUUUAUGCUCGUUUUUUACUUAUCCUGAGAGUUAUGAAGCUUAAGCGUAUUAAACGUAUCAAAGCCUCUUUAAUCUUUGUUUAUCGUUUAAAGGUUUUAUUUUAUCCUUCAAAAAUUGUUUGUUGAAUUUAUCUCAUUACGUUUAUCAAACAGUGCCUUUGUCAAAAGAAGGAUUUUAAGUUCUCUUCAAGAGGAUAGACAAAUUUAAAGGAUAAAAGCUAAAAAAUGAUACAAAUCAAUACAAGUCAAAAUAAUAUUGAUCGAAAAAAUAGUAUUGAUUAAAAGAGGACAAGUUACUCAAGUUGAUAAUUUUUUUGAGGUUGAUUUGAGAGAACAUUCUUUAGGGGCCGUAGCUCAGCUGGGAGAGCACCUGCUUUG